Molecule: unclassified non-coding RNA, 434 nt
Filed under: Hevea brasiliensis (rubber tree)
Lineage: Eukaryota; Viridiplantae; Streptophyta; Magnoliopsida; Malpighiales; Euphorbiaceae
Source: RNAcentral
GAUCCGUACCCACCUCCCCUCCCAACCUUCCCAAUCUGUGAUUUAUUGUUUAUUAUUUGUGGUUUGAGAUAAUUUCGGUUGAAAUUUGUGGAUGUGAUUUUCUUGGCGUAUGAUUAAUUUUUAGUGGUAUGAUUUUCCUUGCGAUUUUGUGGUCAUUCCUUUGUUUAUGGUUUUGGCUUUAUGGGAGAUUCAUACUUUGAGGGAGAGAGAGAGAAGGGGAGGAGGAGGAAAUUUGAAUUUACCAAUGGAUUUUAAUUCACUGGUGUUGAAGUUAGUGAUGGCAACAGGCUAGGUAUUUAUCGGUAAUCAAUUCGUUCAAACUCUAAUGAGUUUAGGUAAUAUAUAAUCAAAUUUGAGAUGAGUUCGGAUUUGAAAAAUAAUACUCAUAAUACAUUUACGUUCAAAGUUUAUGUGUUAAGUAUCUGUUAUUCGUU